RNAcentral lists this long non-coding RNA (1044 nucleotides) under Oryctolagus cuniculus (rabbit). Its description in RNAcentral is "lncRNA (ENSOCUG00000037523.1)". Lineage: Eukaryota; Metazoa; Chordata; Mammalia; Lagomorpha; Leporidae. The record is from RNAcentral.
UGUCACUUGUUCAUAGUAUUUGGGGAAUAAAAUAUUUGGAUCCUUGUGGAGUAAAUCUGUCUACUGAAACAUUGGGUACCUUGCUGCCAUUAUUGUUACUAAGAGUUAAAUGCCUGAUUUAUUUUGUUCUGAUUCAAAAUAUUCUAUAUGUAUGCAUUUUGAAAAGACUUAUUUGAAAUAAAACCUACAUUCGGAGAGAAAUAGAUGCCUUUGGAGUUAGCUGUCUCUCACUCUGACUUGAGUUUUGCUCAGCAAUGACAUAUCAAUCUGCUGUAAGAAGACAUUCAUCAUAUAAGCCCCAUAUACAUUGUUGUGUAUUGUGAAUAUGUUUCAAAUAUUGCUUUGCAGUACAGAGGUUUGCAAUAUCAAAUUCAGUUUACUCCUCUUAAAACAAAUCCAUACUUAAAAAACCACAUACUUCUGUGUGACUAGCCAACUUCAUGCUUACCCUUUAAAAUGUCUAAUAAUUUUUCAGUAUGAAGCCUUUUGAAAAGUAUUUUGGAAGAGUAAAAGAAGCUAUUUUAGCUAGUCACCUUUGUAAUGAUUCAUGUUCAUUAACUUACAAGGGAGAAGAGGGAUCAGAAACUUAGAAAGAGUGUCCACAUUGAACCCCACAUGCUUGCCUCUGAAGUCAAGAAAAGACCUACUGUGUUUUCCAGAGCAGAAGGCGCAGUAUCUGCUUCAAACCCGGCUCACACUGAGGAUGAACAACCUGGGUUACCUGGAUUACAAGAGAAAAGGAGGCUGUGUGAACAGAAUAGAAGGCGUAUGACUCCGGACUGGUUCUGGAUACUUACAAUAAUUCAGAGGAAACAGACGUGUGGCUGCCAUGCAUCUGUAAGGAUUGACUCAGACUUGUCCUGCUUCAUUGAAGUCUUCUUUUCCUAUUGGACAGAAAAUUGGACGUCACUAAAUGGUCUGCUUCUCCACUCCCGCUGAGGAUCAUGCAGUCACCUCCCUGUUUCUCCCCUGUUGACCACAGGGCAAGUUCUGGGCGGGGAAGGGCGGGGGGAGUCCUAAAUAAAACACAGCUGGUGCUGUGCA